RNAcentral lists this ribosomal RNA (463 nucleotides) under uncultured bacterium. Its description in RNAcentral is "partial 16S ribosomal RNA". It matches the Rfam family "Bacterial small subunit ribosomal RNA", at positions 28 to 507 of the family's 1533-position model. The record is from RNAcentral.
GACGAACGCUGGCGGCGUGCUUAACACAUGCAAGUCGAACGGAAAGGCCUUUUCGGAGGUACUCGAGUGGCGAACGGGUGAGUAACACGUGGGUGAUCUGCCCUGCACUCUGGGAUAAGCCUGGGAAACUGGGUCUAAUACCGGAUAGGACCGCACUUCAGUGUGUGUGGUGGAAAGUUUUUUCGGUGUAGGAUGAGCCCGCGGCCUAUCAGCUUGUUGGUGGGGUAAUGGCCUACCAAGGCGGCGACGGGUAGCCGGACUGGGGGGUUGGUCGGCCACAUUGGGACUGAGGUACGGCCCAGACUCCUACGGGAGGCAGCAGUGGGGAAUAUUGCACAAUGGGCGCAAGCCUGAUGCAGCGACGCCGCGUGGGGGAUGACGGCCUUCGGGUUGUAAACUCCUUUCGCCAGGGACGAAGCGUUUUGUGACGGUACCUGGAGAAGAAGCACCGGCUAACUACGUG